AGUGAACGCUGGCGGUAAGCCUAACACAUGCAAGUCGAACGGCAGCACAGUAAGAGCUUGCUCUUACGGGUGGCGAGUGGCGGACGGGUGAGGAAUACAUCGGAAUCUACUUUUUCGUGGGGGAUAACGUAGGGAAACUUACGCUAAUACCGCAUACGACCUACGGGUGAAAGCAGGGGAUCUUCGGACCUUGCGCGAUUGAAUGAGCCGAUGUCGGAUUAGCUAGUUGGCGGGGUAAAGGCCCACCAAGGCGACGAUCCGUAGCUGGUCUGAGAGGAUGAUCAGCCACACUGGAACUGAGACACGGUCCAGACUCCUACGGGAGGCAGCAGUGGGGAAUAUUGGACAAUGGGCGCAAGCCUGAUCCAGCCAUACCGCGUGGGUGAAGAAGGCCUUCGGGUUGUAAAGCCCUUUUGUUGGGAAAGAAAAGCAGCAGGUUAAUACCCCGCUGUUCUGACGGUACCCAAAGAAUAAGCACCGGCUAACUUCGU
Molecule: ribosomal RNA, 491 nt
Filed under: uncultured bacterium
Lineage: Bacteria
Description: partial 16S ribosomal RNA
Rfam family: Bacterial small subunit ribosomal RNA
Source: RNAcentral